AGGUGGGAUACUAGACUUUUGAUUUUAGGAGAUUACUCAACGGUGGGGUAUUUACGGAGACACUCAUGCAUUAGAUGACUCAGACAAAUGCCCAAUGGCGGGGCACUGACCAUCGAGUUUUAGGAGUUAUUACCCAACGGUGGGGUAGUGACGAUUCAUAUGCAUUAGAUGAUUCAGAAUAAUACCCAUCGGUGGGGGUACUAAACAUCAAAUUUUUAGGAGUUAUUACCCAAUGGUGGGGUAUAUUGUCCAAUGGUGGGACAUUUGGCUCCGUUUAGAGGUGAAAUCCGGAUCAUGAGCAUUGCAUAUAGACUGACCAUUAGGGACUAACGCAUUUUAGUCAAGUUGUAACUUAAGGCUAAGAGUGGUGACUAAGAAAUUGAGUAAUGUUUGUACGGCCUAUUUAAUCAUUUUUGGUUAUUUGUUUUUAAAUAUAUGUCUGCAUGAAUAUUUGUACGAUGUUUGUUAGUUGGAGAUGACCCUUACUUUU
RNAcentral lists this long non-coding RNA (490 nucleotides) under Medicago truncatula (barrel medic). RNAcentral describes it as "long non-coding RNA (MTRU_LNC000161)". The record is from RNAcentral. Lineage: Eukaryota; Viridiplantae; Streptophyta; Magnoliopsida; Fabales; Fabaceae.